RNAcentral lists this transfer RNA (75 nucleotides) under Pseudoselenomonas ruminantium. Its description in RNAcentral is "Selenomonas ruminantium tRNA_Glu_CTC". It matches the Rfam family "tRNA". From Rfam's summary of the family: Transfer RNA (tRNA) molecules are approximately 80 nucleotides in length. Their secondary structure includes four short double-helical elements and three loops (D, anti-codon, and T loops). Further hydrogen bonds mediate the characteristic L-shaped molecular structure. tRNAs have two regions of fundamental functional importance: the anti-codon, which is responsible for specific mRNA codon recognition, and the 3' end, to which the tRNAs corresponding amino acid is attached (by aminoacyl-tRNA synthetases). tRNAs cope with the degeneracy of the genetic code in two manners: having more than one tRNA (with a specific anti-codon) for a particular amino acid; and 'wobble' base-pairing, i.e. permitting non-standard base-pairing at the 3rd anti-codon position. Lineage: Bacteria; Bacillati; Bacillota; Negativicutes; Selenomonadales; Selenomonadaceae. The record is from RNAcentral.
GGCACCUUCGUCAAGUGGUUAAGACACCGGCCUCUCACGCCGGGUUCACGGGUUCGAAUCCCGUAGGUGUCACCA